Molecule: long non-coding RNA, 613 nt
Filed under: Mytilus galloprovincialis (Mediterranean mussel)
Lineage: Eukaryota; Metazoa; Mollusca; Bivalvia; Mytilida; Mytilidae
Source: RNAcentral
CUGUAAUUUUUUUUGACUCCUUUGGUCUUCUGUCCAAGGAAAAAUUAAAUAUAAAUAUUUGCUAUACAACAUUAAUAUGAAAAUGUUAAUCUAAAAAAGACUUUUAUAAAACUUUGUAUGUAUUUAACUACUUGCAAGGCAAGGAAAAGGGAGGUAACCAUAAUUUAAAAAUCAAUUGUGUAGAAGACAAAGUUUUUUUCAAUGAUGUAAGCAAUUUCUGUUAUGGUUAUGUCUGCUCUCUCCUCUAAACCGGUCAUCUAUUUACAAUAAUGUUUUAAAUAUAUCUUUAUAGUAUAGAUAUAUAUAUUUGAUAGCUAUGUCAUGUAGAUUUACUAGUGUCAUCUUUUGUAACCUUCAAAACUUGGAAAUCACCUAACCUUAAAGAUGUAUAAGAGAAAAUUGAUUAUAGAAUGAUAGAACCAAUUUUACUAAAGCUUGAGCAUUCUGAAAUUUGUUACCAAAAUAAUCAAUGUUUUGACAGUAGCUUUGAGCAGAAAAAAACACUGCCAUUGAUAUAAAAAAAAAAUUCUGACAAGUUUCAAUUUAAUGUUUUACAUAAGCUAUUUAGAAUAACUGAUAGCUGCUAAAAUAGUAUUUGCUCUUGCAAAAUUUA